GGUUUGUUGUGACUCAGGCCUUUAUUCACGUUGCGUGUUUCAGUCAUUUGUGGGGCUUGUGACAGUCUAAACUCAAUGACUGUGUCAGCCAUUGUGGGUGAUGGAAUUGGUGACAGCAAGUGGGCCUCAGCCUGCUGGGUGGGAUGGGGGAUAGCCCCUUCACCACGAGGAGUUUUUCUGAGUGUUGUGCCCUAUCAGGCUUCUGGUGAGAAGUGCUCUAAGACAGUAAAUAUUUCCCCUUUUUAUCAAGAAAUAACAAUAUCCCAGUUGAAGGUGUAAAAGGCAAUUUGCAUAGGCGUUAAUUAUUGAGGCUGCACAGCAGCUCUCCUUGGGGCACCAUCCAGAGGCGGCUCACAGCCAGGAACACAAAGGAUCCUCUCUGGGAGUGCAGCCAGGGCCAGACCUUCCACCCAGGCUUGGUUCCUGAAGUGAGCAGUUGGAGCUGAACAUCCUGACAACAGACUCAGUCCCAUUCCUUGAAGCCGUGCGUCUCAUGGAGGGUGGUAUUGAUGCCAGUUGCAGCUCAGCACAGAGCUAUCCUGGGAGCUUCGAUGGGGUCUCGGUGGACAGAUGGACUUGCAGUUGAGAUGGGGGGUCAUUUCAUUCCAGAUGUGGGCACGCUUUGUCAUGGGGGUCAGCAGGGCUGGUCAGCAUGCCCAAGGUCAGCAUGGGGGAGGGUAUCAAACCAGGUCGCAUCUAAACUUAGAGCUUCCAAGCCUGAGGUCUCUGUGAGUCUGCAUCUCACCUUUCCCUCCCCUUCCCCACAUCUAGUGCAUUCCCCAUUUCACAGUCAAAGAAAGCGUGAGUGAUCUGAGGAGCUGACUUAGAGGGUCAGUAUGGUUUGCUAAUGGCAGUUCUGCUGUUAUCAUCUUGGUGAUGAGCCUUGAUACAAGCCACUGAGUCUCCAGAUCUCAUUAACCAUUGCUGUGCUCCUGGGAAGCUGUGUGAGGUGGUGAUCAACUGUGUAUGUGUUGGGUGGGUGUAUUGUUGCCUCAGUGGUUUUUGUGCCUUUUAGUAUUUACUGCACACUCUCUUCUAGGAGAUCCAAGCCAGAUGUCCAGGAAAAGGGUGAGUUCUCCUUUCUCCUCUUAAAUGCUCCAGCCUUGAAAGCCAUAUUCUGCUUUCAGCUGCUCUACUGGGCAUCUGUGCCUGGAGACAUCGAUGUCUACUUACAACUUAGGAGAGCACUGGGCAGUAGAGCCUGUGGGGAGCAGCAGUGAGUUCUCAUAUCCUCAUUUCACAGAGGAAGAGCCUUCAGUGAAGGCACAAUGGGAUGUGGCCAGGUCCUACAGCCAGACAGUGGUAGGGGCAGGACUGGAACCCAGGACCCAGCGUGAAACUCCCUAUCCAGUGCUUGUCCCACCAGCCAUGCCAUUCUCCAACAGCUGUGUGACCCCAGGCAAGUCACUGUCUUCUCUGCACUCAGUAUCCUGGCGUGUAGUUGGCCUUUCAGACCUGAUCCAGCCUCAACUUCUGAGAUAUUCUGGGUAAAGAACCUCGCCUCCUCAACUUUGCUGUCCGCAAGUGAUAUUCUUCUUCUCUUGAUCUGUCAUCAGUCAGGCUGAAAUCACUCCCGUGGAGCCUUCGCGGAGGAUGUGUGUCCUGGCACUGAGAGCCCUCCGUCAUCCAGAGCUGGGUGGUUCCUGCACCCUGGACUCUCUGAGGUGGAGGAAGAUGGCCAUAAGUUCCCCAGAGUGGCAGAACUUUGGUUUUCCGGUAUGGAGAUAAAGUGAUUUGGAUGUUGUAUUCAUUUCCUGUGUCUGCUCUAACAAAUUACUACAAACUUCAUGGCUGACAGCAACAGAAAUUUGUUCUCUCACCGUUCUGGUGGCCAGAUGUCCUCAAUUAGUAUCACUGGGCUGAAGUCAAGGUGUCAGCUGGGCCAAGCUCCCUCUGGGGGCUGUAGAGGAGAAUGUGUUCCUUGGCUUUCCCAGGUUCUGGUGGCUGCUGGCAUUCCUUGGCCUGUGACCACAUCACUCCCAUGUCUGCCUCCACAGUCACAUUGCUGUCU
This 2011-nucleotide long non-coding RNA is filed under the name Homo sapiens (human). RNAcentral's name for it is "HSALNT0018346". Lineage: Eukaryota; Metazoa; Chordata; Mammalia; Primates; Hominidae. The record is from RNAcentral.